AACGAACGCUGGCGGCAGGCCUAACACAUGCAAGUCGAACGAACCCUUCGGGGUGAGUGGCGCACGGGGUGCGUAACACGUGGGAAUAUACACAUAGGGUAAGGAAUAAACUCAGGGAAACUUGCGCUAAUACCUUAUAAGUAACUCCGGUUCAAAGAUUUAUCGCCUAAUGGAUUAGCCCGCGCUAGAUUAGUUGUUGGUGAGGUAAGAGCUCACCAAGACUACGAUCUAUAGCUGGUCUUAGAGGAUGAUCAGCCACACUGGAACUGAGACAGGUCCAGACUCCUACGGGAGGCAGCAGUGAGGAAUAUUGCGCAAUGGAGGAAACUCUGACGCAGCC
RNAcentral lists this ribosomal RNA (340 nucleotides) under uncultured bacterium. Its description in RNAcentral is "bacterial SSU rRNA". It matches the Rfam family "Bacterial small subunit ribosomal RNA", at positions 29 to 393 of the family's 1533-position model. The record is from RNAcentral.